CCUACGGGUGGCUGCAGUGGGGAAUAUUGGACAAUGGGGGCAACCCUGAUCCAGCCAUGCCGCGUGUGUGAAGAAGGCCCUCGGGUUGUAAAGCACUUUCAGUGAGGAAGAACGCCUGGUGGUUAAUACCCAUCAGGAAAGACAUCACUCACAGAAGAAGCACCGGCUAACUCCGUGCCAGCAGCCGCGGUAAUACGGAGGGUGCGAGCGUUAAUCGGAAUUACUGGGCGUAAAGCGCGCGUAGGUGGCUUGAUAAGCCGGUUGUGAAAGCCCCGGGCUCAACCUGGGAACGGCAUCCGGAACUGUCAAGCUAGAGUGCAGGAGAGGAAGGUAGAAUUCCCGGUGUAGCGGUGAAAUGCGAAGAGAUCGGGAGGAAUACCAGUGGCGAAGGCGGCCUUCUGGACUGACACUGACACUGAGGUGCGAAAGCGUGGGUAGCAAACAGGAUUAGAUACCCUGGUAGUC
Molecule: ribosomal RNA, 465 nt
Filed under: Vreelandella stevensii
Lineage: Bacteria; Pseudomonadati; Pseudomonadota; Gammaproteobacteria; Oceanospirillales; Halomonadaceae
Description: partial 16S ribosomal RNA
Rfam family: Bacterial small subunit ribosomal RNA
Source: RNAcentral